CCUACGGGAGGCAGCAGUGGGGAAUAUUGGACAAUGGGGGGAACCCUUAUCCAGCCAUGCCGCGUGUGUGAAGAAGGCCCUCGGGUUGUAAAGCACUUUCAGUGAGGAAGAACGCCUGGUGGUUAAUACCCAUCAGGAAAGACAUCACUCACAGAAGAAGCACCGGCUAACUCCGUGCCAGCAGCCGCGGUAAUACGGAGGGUGCGAGCGUUAAUCGGAAUUACUGGGCGUAAAGCGCGCGUAGGUGGCUUGAUAAGCCGGUUGUGAAAGCCCCGGGCUCAACCUGGGAACGGCAUCCGGAACUGUCAAGCUAGAGUGCAGGAGAGGAAGGUAGAAUUCCCGGUGUAGCGGUGAAAUGCGUAGAGAUCGGGAGGAAUACCAGUGGCGAAGGCGGCCUUCUGGACUGACACUGACACUGAGGUGCGAAAGCGUGGGUAGCAAACAGGAUUAGAUACCCUAGUAGUC
Molecule: ribosomal RNA, 465 nt
Filed under: Vreelandella stevensii
Lineage: Bacteria; Pseudomonadati; Pseudomonadota; Gammaproteobacteria; Oceanospirillales; Halomonadaceae
Description: partial 16S ribosomal RNA
Rfam family: Bacterial small subunit ribosomal RNA
Source: RNAcentral